Long non-coding RNA from Dunckerocampus dactyliophorus (ringed pipefish), 382 nucleotides. RefSeq lists it as uncharacterized. The transcript is spliced from 3 exons. Lineage: Eukaryota; Metazoa; Chordata; Actinopteri; Syngnathiformes; Syngnathidae. The record is from RefSeq and is a predicted model, not a curated record.
ACGACGUGAAACGCAUCGAAAUGUUAAUAAUGAUAUCUUUCUCACCAGAAUUACAACAAGUCAGCACAAAAAACCCAAAACAACCACUUUGGAAGUGACAGACUUUUAAGCUGUAUUGAGUCACCAGACGCCUUUAAAAGGAGGAUGGCUUCAGUCACCGUGACGAAGAAGAUCAUUUGUGCGGGGAAGUUUUUCUCUGGCGGACUGCAGGCAGAAUGUCAUCAAAACCCCCCCUCCCAAACGAAACAUGUUGAUACGGCGGCCUGAAACACAGACGGGCCACGCGCUGCAGGCUGAGAGUUUCCUGGCAGGAGAGCCCAGUGGAAUCAUGGGAAGGAGGAAGAAAGCAUGUGUGUGUGUGUGUGUGUGCAUUUGUGUCAAA